Molecule: small nucleolar RNA, 115 nt
Organism: Peromyscus maniculatus bairdii (prairie deer mouse)
Lineage: Eukaryota; Metazoa; Chordata; Mammalia; Rodentia; Cricetidae
Source: Ensembl
AUGUCCUUUAAAAUUUAUAGUAUUUUAGGAGAUUAACACAGAAGGGUACAGGAUGCCUCAUGAAACUCAAAGAGACUGGACAGUUCCUAUUUUGAUCUUGUCUAUUGACAUAGCU